CAGGAUCUUUGCAAAUACACCAAAUCUUCAAAAACUGAGAUGUGAAGUUUUGUCAUGUCAUGGCUUUUUCCCUGCAUUUAACAAUCUUGAAAUGCUCAAGUUUUCUUGGGGUCGUUCGGGGACAUGGGUCACUGAGCUGAACUUGCCACCAAAUCUCAAGAAAUUAACACUAUCCAAUGGUUGCGUAUAUCGACUUGAUCAGGUUGCAAUCCUCCCCCGACUUGUGGUACUCAAACUGCUAAACGUUUCCAUUAGUUCCCAAGUAUGGAAAGUGACCGAUGAGCAUUUCCCUCACCUCAAAUUCUUGAAACUGCAAGAUCUUUCUUUUUCUGUAUGGGAUGUUUCGGAUGAUGCUUUCCCAUACCUUGAGCAUUUGGUGUUAAGAAGAUGUCAAUAUCUUAGGAUGAUCCCUUCUUGCUUUGGAUACAUGACGUCUCUAAAGUCCAUUGCGAUAAAGUCAUGUAAGGAAGAAUCACUCGCUGAGUCAGCCUUGGAGAUCAAGAAUAUGCAAGUUGAUGAGAUAGGAAAUUCUGAUUUCCAGGUCUCCAUCCACAAGUAGAUCAACAAUGCUCUUGUACUUUGUCUCGAACUGAUUAUCAGUUUUUAAGGAGUUUUAUCAGCUGAAGCAGUUGGAAAGAACAAGAAGGCUGUAUUAGUUGGACUACUGGUGGUAUCAAUUAUAGUAUUCUGCAACUGAUUUUAGUGAUUUGUUUGCUUACAGAUUGAGAAUAUGUGUAUGAUAUAUAGAUAUUGAAUAAGCGAUGUGUUUCCACCUGUUAUUAAUAUUGUUUUGUACCUGACUUAUUUCCUCUUUAUCAUGUUGUGGAUAGUUUUGAGUUCUUUCAG
This 846-nucleotide unclassified non-coding RNA is filed under the name Hevea brasiliensis (rubber tree). The record is from RNAcentral. Lineage: Eukaryota; Viridiplantae; Streptophyta; Magnoliopsida; Malpighiales; Euphorbiaceae.